This 480-nucleotide ribosomal RNA is filed under the name uncultured bacterium. RNAcentral's name for it is "bacterial SSU rRNA". It matches the Rfam family "Bacterial small subunit ribosomal RNA", at positions 28 to 507 of the family's 1533-position model. The record is from RNAcentral.
GAUGAACGCUGGCGGCGUGCUUAACACAUGCAAGUCGAACGAGCUUUAUUACUACGAUCCCUUCGGGGGUGACGGUUUUAAAGCGAGUGGCGGACGGGUGAGUAACGCGUGGGUAACCUGCCUUGUACAGGGGGAUAACAGUUGGAAACGGCUGCUAAUACCGCAUAAGCGCACAGUGCCGCAUGGUAUAGUGUGAAAAACUCCGGUGGUAUAAGAUGGACCCGCGUUUGAUUAGCUGGUUGGUGGGGUAACGGCCUACCAAGGCGACGAUCAAUAGCCGACCUGAGAGGGUGACCGGCCACAUUGGGACUGAGACACGGCCCAAACUCCUACGGGAGGCAGCAGUGGGGAAUAUUGCACAAUGGGCGAAAGCCUGAUGCAGCGACGCCGCGUGAGCGAAGAAGUAUUUCGGUAUGUAAAGCUCUAUCAGCAGGGAAGAUAAUGACGGUACCUGACUAAGAAGCACCGGCUAAAUACGUG